Dreissena polymorpha is the source of this 5479-nucleotide long non-coding RNA. RefSeq lists it as uncharacterized. The transcript is spliced from 3 exons. The record is from RefSeq and is a predicted model, not a curated record. Lineage: Eukaryota; Metazoa; Mollusca; Bivalvia; Myida; Dreissenidae.
UAAAUAUCCCUCUCUUUGGUAAUUUAUCGUAAUCAGGGUUCUCAAUAACUUUUGAGCCAACAGGCCCAAAUGUGAAACCAACAGGCCUUCAAGGGGGGUCCGGGGGACAUGCUCCCCCUGAAAAAUUUAAAAUUGAGCACUUGAUUUCCUGCAUUGUGGGCUAUUUUAUGGCUAUUGAAGUGGUCAACCAGGCACUUAAAUUUGAGCAUUUUUGUGUGCAUUUGAUGAAUUUUAGCUUUUUUAACUAACAAAAGAUAAAUGGAAAAACCUCUUUAUUACUUUUGUAAAAUUUUAACUCAACAUGUAAUGAACAGAACGUCAAAAUAUUUUACUGCUUUUUGACUGAUUCCAAUAUGCACCUUUUCAUUGUUGUUUUUUGUUGUAAUGCGUUAAGGGAGAUAAUGAAGCGUCUUUGCUUAAUAGCAAAUAGGAGCAAACUUUCUGAAAAGACAAGCAAAUUUCGAAAAGUCAAUUGCCGAUUUUCCAAAUCUGAGCGAUUUUUAAACGGCAAAUAUCUGAUUUCAAACGUCCGAUUUGGCUGGCGACGGACUCUUAUUGAGAACCCUGAUUGUAAUGCUGUCACUUUAGAUUACUCUUAAUUCCAAUCCAUCAAAAAUUUAGUUCAAUUUGCAUCAAAACUAAUGUAAGCAAGUGCUAAGAGUUAGAAAUGUAGGAUUGUUUUUAUGCCCCCCUUCGAAGAAGAGGGGGUAUAUUGCUUUGCACAUGUCCGUCUGUUGGUCCGUCGGUCUGUCGGUCGGUCUGUCAGUCGGUCCGUCCACCAGGUGGUUUCCGGAUGAUAACUCAAGAACGCUUGGGCCUAGGAUCAUGAAACUUCAUAGGUACAUUGAUCAUGAAUCGCAGAUGACCCCUAUUGAUUUUGAGGUCACUAGGUCAAAGGUCAAGGUCACGGUGACCCGAAAUAGUAAAAUGGUUUCCGGAUGAUAACUCAAGAACGCUUAGGCCUAGGAUCAUGAAACUUGAUAGGUAGAUUGAUCAUGACUCACAGAUGACCCCUAUUGAUUUUCAGGUCACUAGGUCAAAGGUCAAGGUCACAGUGACCCGAAAUAGUAAAAUGGUUUCCGGAUGAUAACUCAAGAACGCUUAUGCCUAGGAUCAUGAAACUUCGUAGGUAGAUUGAUAAUGGCUGGCAGAUGACCUCUAUUGAUUGUCAGGUCACUAGGUCAAAGGUCAAGGUCACGGUGACCCGAAAUAGUAAAAUGGUUUCCGGAUGAUAACUCAAGAACGCUUAUGCCUAGAAUCAUGAAACUUGAUAGGUACAUUGAUCAUGACUCGCAGUUGACCUCUAUUGAUUUUCAGGUCACUAUAUCAAAGGUCAAGGUCACGAUGACCUGAAAUAGUAAAAUGGUUUCCGGAUGAUAACUCAAGAACGCUAAUGGCAACGAUCAUGAAACUUCAUAGAUACAUUGAUCAUGACUCGCAGAUGACCUUUAUUGAUUUUGAGGUCACUUGGUCAAAGGUCAUGGUGACCCAAAUUGUAAAAUGGUUUCCGGAUGUUAACUCAAGAACGCUUUUGCCGAGGAUCAUGAAACUUUAAAGGUACAUUGAUCAGGACUCGCAGAUGACCCCUAUUGAUUUUUAGGUCACUAGGUCAAAGAUCAAGGUCACGGUGACCCGAAAUAGUAAAAUGGUUUCUGGAUGAUAACUCAAGAAUGCUUAUGCCUAGGAUCAUGAAACUUCAUAGGUAUAUUGAUCAUGACUCACAGAUGACCCCUUUUGAUUUUCAGGUCACUAGGUCAAAGGUCAAGGUCACGGUGACUCAACUUAGAAAAAUGGUUUCCGGAUGAUAACUCAAGAAGGCUUACACCUAGGAUCAUGAAACUAAAUACGUACAUUGAUCAUGACUCUCAGAUGACCCCUAUUGACGUUCAGGUCACUAGGUCAAAGGUCAAGGUCACGGUGACUUUACACAGUAAAAUGGUUUCAGGAUGAUAACUCAAGAAAGCUAAUACGCCUAGGAUCAUGAAACUUCAUAGGUACAUUGAUCAUGACUCACAGAUGACCCCUAUUGAUUUUUAGGUCACUUGGUCUAAGGUCAAGGUCACAGUGCAAAAUAAUGUAUUCAUACAAUGGCUGCCACUACAAUUGACAGCCCAUAUGGGGGGCAUGCAUGUUUUACAAACAGCCCUUGUUUCAUACUGGAAAUAGUGUAUUACUGUUGAUGUUUAUAAACUAUAGUAAGUGGUUGAAUAGCAUGGGAAUACAUUUUUACUUAAAAUGAUUUUGAAAUUAUAUUUUUUUUCAAAUUUAGCAUUUUCCCUGUGUUGUAACUCAAAAUAAGUUCAAAAUAUAAAAAAAAUAUGAAAGUUAAUGUUGAUUACCGGUAUACCAUUCCAUUUGUAAAAUAUUGUUAUUUUGAACUCACAUUAAGAAAUUUAUGUCUUUAUCAAAAGUAUUAAGAAAAAUAAAAUGUUUUUUGCUUCUCCUGUAAAUUUUUCAAAAAGUGAGAUACAUUAUAGUCUUGCAUGGAGCCCAUUCCAGAAUGUAUAAAUAGAUUAUCGCAAUUUUGUCAGCCAAGUGACUGUCCGCCAUUAUACACUGCUGCAAAAUUUGGCGAAUCUGCGAUUCCAAAAGCCACCAACCAACCAAGAAAAAAGCUUGUCUUCAAAUGUCCGGAGAAUAUCUUGAUUAACCUCCACCUGACGGAGGUUAGCAUAUGAAGACUUCAUGGACUAUCUCAUUUUGUCUAAAGCCUACGAUGGGAAGAUGAUGAAAUCCAUCAGCGCCUUUUAUGGGUAAAAUUAUAUUCUGAAUGGCUUGAUGGCUGAAAUUUAUUCGUGCACAUCUAAUUGUGUCUUCUUUUUGAAAUCAACUAUAUCACCAAGACAACCUGGUAUUGGAAGAAAUUACUAUGACACAUGGGUGGCUGUGUCUACAGACUCUACAGUCUUUACGGGUUACUGUACUUGUCCAGCUGGAAAAGGAAGAACUUGCAGCCGUAUAUCUGCAGUCAUAUGUGCCGUAACACUUGCUUGGACUCAUGGAGUAGCAGGAAAAACAUGUACAGAUGAACAGGUUGCUUGGGGAAAAGAAGUACAAAGUUCUCCAUAUUGACAGUACUAAGCCAGUGUCGGGAUCCUUGUCAUGCGAGCAGUGCCAUGUCACAUUUUAAAAGUAUGUGUGCUUAGACAAUUUUAAGAUCAAUCCAACAGAAGACAGAAGCACAAAACUCAGACAUGUGGAUAGACAGAGAGUUAAGGAUUACCUCAAGUCAUGUCAUGAUGCACUACCUUUAACAGGCCGUGCUGAUCCCAACAAGUUUGUUGUCAGUCAGUUAUACAACCGGUUCAAGGGAUCUGUGGCUACUCAACAUGGACAAAAAUUUAAACCGGUGGCACGGCAAUUGUUUGGAAAAAACUUGUUGAAAACUGUUUGUCGAUAUGGACUUGUGAUUUGUCAACAAGAACCUUACAUUGCGGUGAGCCCAGAUGGAUUGAUUGACACGAUUGUGAGAUCAAAUGCCCAACAAAACCUCUUUAGAACUAAUUCAUGUCUGGAAAGUAUGAUGUUGUGCUAAAGGAUGAAAAGCCAUACUUAGACCCCAAAUGAAAAAAUGGAUUCUAAACCCAAGUUCAGGUAGCAAUGUAUUGCACAUAAUUAAAGGCUUUUCUGUGUAAGUUUAUGAUAUGAACAAAUGAGUAUCAAAUUGUUACUGAAAUGUCUUUUGAGGAAGAAUUUGUCAACCUGUUACUGCUGCACAUCAGGAUAUUCUACUUCAAGCAUUUGCUUGUUUGAUUGAGGAAUUAAGGUCCAACAGAUUGAAGGUUUCCUCUGCGUACAAUGAACUUUGUAAAUAAGCUACAUGUGCAAGCUGAUAAAUGUCUAGCAAACGUUGAAAGACUUUUGUUCCUAGAAAAAGAUAUGACAAUGAACAAAUAUAUAUUAACCAUACUUUUUAUUUCAAGUGUUCAUGGACAAUAUUUGGCUCAUUGCCGAUACAUAAGCAUUAUAACAUAAAUAACUAAAAAUGCUGCUUUUGAUAAAGCAGAGGACCUUGUGGAGAUUGUGUAGUUGGUUGAUUAUAUAUACCAUCAGGGUAAUCUGUCAGUGCAUUGUCUUUUUGUUGUCCCCUACCAGUUUCACCGGAGGGGACUUUAUGGUUUGCGCUCUGUGCGUCUGUCUGUCUCACUUUUCUGGAUCCUGCGAUAAUUUUUAAAGUUCUUAAUAUUUAUUCAUGAAACUUGAAACAUGGAUAGAUGGCAAUAAGGACAGUCAAUGCACGUCAUUUCUUUGUGUUCCUACGUGAAAAAUUCUGGUUGCUAUGGCAACAAAUAAAAAAAUAUACAUUUUUGACAAUGGUGGAGCCCGUAGGGGACAUAUAUUGCUUGGCAAUAGUCUUGUUGUUUUUGUCGUCUGCCUGGUACUUGACCAUGGUCACAUUAAAUAAGAAAUACAGAUGAAAACUUAUUCAAAUUGAUACAUAAAUAUUCUAUGACAAGACUACCAUGUGAGGAAUCCAGAUAAAUAUUCACAAGUUUGAAUUUGAAUUGUUGGGAAAGUAGUUCUUAAAACUUAACGCAUGCCUUUGCCCACUAACAAAGCAGCAUACUGUUGCAUUUCUUUAAUAAGCUUAUUUUGGACAUUUAAUUAUGCUCAAGUUGGAAGUAAUGAAUACUUCUGUAAUCUUAUUGUUGGUCUCACACUCUUCAGGUGUAGGCCAUCUCUCCCAUGAGUACCUCUUCAUUUCUGCAAAUUGGUUUAAAUCUCUUAAUUUCUGCAAAUUGCCAUAAAUCAUGGUCACUUCAGUCUGCAAAUUUCCGAAAUUUCAUGUGUGUAGUUGGUUAAUUAUAUUUACCCUCUGGGCAAUCUGUCAGUGCAUCCUCUUUUUGCUGUUUUUGUUGUCUGCCUGGAACUUGACCAUGGUCAUCUUAAAUUAGAAAUGAAGAUGAAAACUUAUUCAAAUUGAUACAUUACUAUUCUAUGACAAGACUACCAUGUGAGGAAUCAAGUUAAAUAUUCACAAGUUUGAAUUUGAAUUGUUGGGAAAGUAGUUCUUAAAACUUAACGCAUGCCUUUGCCCACUGACAAAGCAGCAUACUGUUGCAUUUUUUUAAUAAGCUUAUUUUGGACAUUUAAUUAUGCUCAAGUUGGAAGUAAUGAAUACUUCUGUAAUCUUAUUGUUGGUCUCACACUCUUCAGGUGUAGGCCAUCUCUCCCAUGAGUACCUCUUCAUUUAUGCAAAUUGGUUUAAAUCUCUUAAUUUCUGCAAAUUGCCAUAAAUCAUGGUCACUUGGUCCAGAAAAAUGCAUACAGUCUUAUUUGAAUAGUAUUUAAAGGGGGUUUUGGGGAGAAAAAAUUGAGGAGAAAACAAAUGGAUGCUUUAAAAUAAUAUAUACUAUUGAAAACUUGUGCCUUGAUAUCAACACUUUAAUGUUUUAAAUAUAAUUUUCAUUACUGAUCAUAAUAGUGUAUUUCUAAGUGUACUUUCUUGAAUAAAUGUGUGAUUGUGAAAUAAAAUUUG